UAGUGGCGAACGGGUGAGUAACACGUGAGUAACCUGCCCUUAACUCUGGGAUAAGCCUGGGAAACUGGGUCUAAUACUGGAUAUUGACUUUUCACCGCAUGGUGGUUUGUUGAAAGAUUUAUUGGUUUUGGAUGGACUCGCGGCCUAUCAGCUUGUUGGUGAGGUAAUGGCUUACCAAGGCGACGACGGGUAGCCGGCCUGAGAGGGUGACCGGCCACACUGGGACUGAGACACGGCCCAGACUCCUACGGGAGGCAGCAGUGGGGAAUAUUGCACAAUGGGCGAAAGCCUGAUGCAGCGACGCCGCGUGAGGGAUGACGGCCUUCGGGUUGUAAACCUCUUUCAGUAGGGAACAAGGCCAUCACUUGUGGUGGUUGAGGGUACUUGCAGAAGAAGCGCCGGCUAACUACGUGCCAGCAGCCGCGGUAAUACGUAGGGCGCAAGCGUUAUCCGGAAUUAUUGGGCGUAAAGAGCUCGUAGGCGGUUUGUCGCGUCUGCCGUGAAAGUCCGGGGCUCAACUCCGGAUCUGCGGUGGGUACGGGCAGACUAGAGUGAUGUAGGGGAGACUGGAAUUCCUGGUGUACCGGUGAAA
This 592-nucleotide ribosomal RNA is filed under the name Adelie penguin guano bacterium 14. RNAcentral describes it as "bacterial SSU rRNA". It matches the Rfam family "Bacterial small subunit ribosomal RNA", at positions 93 to 686 of the family's 1533-position model. The record is from RNAcentral.